GUCCAUGCCGUAAACGAUGAUAGCUGGGUGCCCGGAGCUUGCCUCUGGGUGCCUGAGGGAAACCAUUAAGCUAUCCACCUGGGAGUACGCCGGCAACGGUGAAACUCAAAGGAAUUGACGGGGCCCGCACAAGCGGUGGAACAUGUGGUUUAAUUCGAUGAUACGCGAGGAACCUUACCCGGGCUUAAAUGGCAGGUGCAUAGAUCAGAGAUGAUCUUUUCCUUCACGGGACUCCUGUCAAGGUGCUGCAUGGCUGUCGU
This 260-nucleotide ribosomal RNA is filed under the name uncultured bacterium. RNAcentral describes it as "partial 16S ribosomal RNA". It matches the Rfam family "Bacterial small subunit ribosomal RNA", at positions 793 to 1055 of the family's 1533-position model. The record is from RNAcentral.